ACGGAGAUUAUACGCACAGGCGAUUUCAGUCAAAUCAUGUAAAAUCUUAGUGGCGGACGGGUGAGUAACGCGUGGGUAACCUGCCUUACACUGGGGGAUAACACUUAGAAAUAGGUGCUAAUACCGCAUAAGCGCACGAAGCCGCAUGGAUUUGUGUGAAAAACUCCGGUGGUGUAAGAUGGACCCGCGUCUGAUUAGCUUGUUGGCGGGGUAACGGCCCACCAAGGCGACUAUCAAUAGCCGGCCUGAGAGGGUGGACGGCCACAUUGGGACUGAAACACCGCCCAAACUCCUACCGGAGGCAGCAGUGGGGGAUAUUGGACAAUGGGGGGAACCCUGAUCCAGCGACGCCGCGUGAGUGAAGAAGUAUUUCGGUAUGUAAAGAUCUGUCAGCAGGGAAGAAAGAAAUGAAAAAAAAAGACCAUGAAGCCCCGGCUAAGUACGUGCCAGCAGCCGCGGUAAUACGUAGGGGGCAAGCGUUAUCCGGAAUUACUGGGUGUAAAGGGAGCGUAGACGGUUAAGUAAGUCUGGAGUGAAAGGCCGGGGCCCAACCCCGGGACUGCUCUGGAAACUAUUGAACUUGAGUGCAGGAGAGGUAAGCGGAAUUCCUUGUGUNGCGGUGAAAUGCGUNGUUUUUUGGGGGUUCUCCUGUGGCGNUGGCGGCUUGCUGGNCUGUNNCUGNCGUUGNGGCUCGNUGNCGUGGGGNGCCUUUUAAGGGNNNNNNCCCNNNNNNUCCNCNACNNNNNCGGCCUUUAUAAAGUCGGUGGGUAUGGACCCAUCGGUGCCGCAGCAAACGCAGUAAGUAAUCCACCUGGGGAGUACGUUCGCAAGAAUGAAACUCAAAGGAAUUGACGGGGACCCGCACAAGCGGUGGAGCAUGUGGUAUAAUCAGAAGCAACGCGAAGAACCUUACCAAGUCUUGACAUCCUCUUGAAUAAAGGGUAAUGCCUUUAGGCCUUCGGGACAAGAGAGACAGGUGGUGCAUGGUUGUCGUCAGCUCGUGUCGUGAGAUGUUGGGUUAAGUCCCGCAACGAGCGCAACCCUUAUCUUCAGUAGCCAGCAGGUAAAGCCGGGCACUCUGGAGAGACUGCCGGGGAUAACCCGGAGGAAGGUGGGGAUGACGUCAAAUCAUCAUGCCCCUUAUGAUUUGGGCUACACACGUGCUUUUUGGGAGAAAACAGAGGGAAGCGAGCCCGCGAGGGGGAGCAAAUCCCAAAAAUAACGUCCCAGUUCGGAUUGUUUUUUACGACCCGACUACAUGAAGCUGGAAUCGCUAGU
This 1278-nucleotide ribosomal RNA is filed under the name uncultured bacterium. RNAcentral describes it as "partial 16S ribosomal RNA". It matches the Rfam family "Bacterial small subunit ribosomal RNA", at positions 55 to 1339 of the family's 1533-position model. The record is from RNAcentral.